AACGUAGGACACAAGCGUUAUCCGGAGUUACUGGGCGUAAAGGGCGCGUAGGCGGAUGUUUAAGUCAGCGGUGAAAGCCCAGGGCUCAACCUUGGAACUGCCAUUGAUACUGGACAUCUUGAGUACGGGAGAGGUGAGUGGAACUCCGAGUGUAGAGGUGAAAUUCGUAGAUAUUCGGAAGAACACCAGUGGCGAAGGCGACUCACUGGCCCGUUACUGACGCUGAGGCGCGAAAGCGUGGGGAGCAAACAGG
This 253-nucleotide ribosomal RNA is filed under the name uncultured bacterium. RNAcentral describes it as "partial 16S ribosomal RNA". It matches the Rfam family "Bacterial small subunit ribosomal RNA", at positions 524 to 776 of the family's 1533-position model. The record is from RNAcentral.